This 443-nucleotide ribosomal RNA is filed under the name uncultured bacterium. RNAcentral describes it as "partial 16S ribosomal RNA". It matches the Rfam family "Bacterial small subunit ribosomal RNA", at positions 338 to 795 of the family's 1533-position model. The record is from RNAcentral.
CCUACGGGUGGCAGCAGUGAGGAAUAUUGGUCAAUGGACGCAAGCCUGACCCAGCAACGCCGCGUGAAGGAAGAAGGCUCUCUGGGUGGAAACUUCUUUUUUCAGGGACGAAGAGAGUGACGUUACCUGAGGAAUAAGCCUCGGCUAACUACGUGCCAGCAGCAGCGGUAAUACGUCGGUGGCAAGCGUUAUCCGGAUUUGUUGGGUGUAAAGGUCGUGUAGGCGGGAGCGUAAGUCAGAUGUGAAAACUUAGGGCUCAACCCUGAUCCUGCAUUUGAUACUGGGUUUCUUGAGUGCUGGAGAGGCAGUCGGAAUUCGGGGUGUAGCGGUGAAAUGCGUAGAUAUACGGAGGAACACCAGUGGCGAAGGCGGAUUGCUGGACAGUAACUGACGCUGAGGCGCGAAAGUGUGGGGAGCAAACAGGAUUAGAUACCCUAGUAGUC